AGAGCGAACGCUGGCGGCAGGCUUAACACAUGCAAGUCGAGCGGAUGUAGCAAUACAUCAGCGGCAGACGGGUGAGUAACACGUGGGAACGUACCUUUUGGUUCGGAACAACACAGGGAAACUUGUGCUAAUACCGGAUAAGCCCUUACGGGGAAAGAUUUAUCGCCGAAAGAUCGGCCCGCGUCUGAUUAGCUAGUUGGUGAGGUAAUGGCUCACCAAGGCGACGAUCAGUAGCUGGUCUGAGAGGAUGAUCAGCCACAUUGGGACUGAGACACGGCCCAAACUCCUACGGGAGGCAGCAGUGGGGAAUAUUGGACAAUGGGCGCAAGCCUGAUCCAGCCAUGCCGCGUGAGUGAUGACGGCCUUAGGGUUGUAAAGCUCUUUCGCUAGGGACGAUAAUGACGGUACCUAGACAAGAAGCCCGGCUAACUUCGCGCCAGCAGCCGC
Molecule: ribosomal RNA, 447 nt
Filed under: uncultured bacterium
Lineage: Bacteria
Description: SSU rRNA
Rfam family: Bacterial small subunit ribosomal RNA
Source: RNAcentral